CUCUUGACAUCCAGAGAAUUUGCUAGAGAUAGCUUAGUGCCUUCGGGAACUCUGAGACAGGUGCUGCAUGGCUGUCGUCAGCUCGUGUUGUGAAAUGUUGGGUUAAGUCCCGCAACGAGCGCAACCCUUAUCCUUUGUUGCCAGCGAGUAAUGUCGGGAACUCAAAGGAGACUGCCGGUGAUAAACCGGAGGAAGGUGGGGAUGACGUCAAGUCAUCAUGGCCCUUACGAGUAGGGCUACACACGUGCUACAAUGGCAUAUACAAAGAGAAGCGAACUCGCGAGAGCAAGCGGACCUCAUAAAGUAUGUCGUAGUCCGGAUUGGAGUCUGCAACUCGACUCCAUGAAGUCGGAAUCGCUAGUAAUCGUAGAUCAGAAUGC
Molecule: ribosomal RNA, 380 nt
Filed under: Escherichia coli
Lineage: Bacteria; Pseudomonadati; Pseudomonadota; Gammaproteobacteria; Enterobacterales; Enterobacteriaceae
Description: bacterial SSU rRNA
Rfam family: Bacterial small subunit ribosomal RNA
Source: RNAcentral